RNAcentral lists this ribosomal RNA (424 nucleotides) under uncultured eukaryote. RNAcentral's name for it is "bacterial SSU rRNA". It matches the Rfam family "Eukaryotic small subunit ribosomal RNA", at positions 592 to 1018 of the family's 1831-position model. The record is from RNAcentral.
CAAUAGCGUAUAUUAAAGUUGUUGCAGUUAAAAAGCUCGUAGUUGAAAUACUGACAUAGUCGACCGGUCUCACGCAUUGUCGUGAGCACUUGUGUUGUAUUAGGUCAUUCUUGGAUUUUAGCCAGUCUGGCAUUAAGUUGUCGGGUUGGUGAAAACCAUCGUUUACUGUGAAAAAUUAGAGUGUUCAAAGCAGGCCUACGCUUGAAUACAUUAGCAUGGAAUAAUGGAAUAGGACUUCGGAACUAUUUUGUUGGUUUGCGUUACGAAGUAAUGAUUAAUAGGGACAGUUGGGGGUAUUCGUAUUUCAUUGUCAGAGGUGAAAUUCUUGGAUUUCUGAAAGACGAACUACUGCGAAAGCAUUUACCAAGGAUGUUUUCAUUAAUCAAGAACGAAAGUUAGGGGAUCGAAGAUGAUUAGAUACCAU